GAAACUAUAGUCAAUAUAACAUAUGAUAUAUAAUUUGCACUUAUAGGGAGUGAAAACUAGUUUCA
Molecule: transfer RNA, 65 nt
Filed under: Neilupotamon xinganense
Lineage: Eukaryota; Metazoa; Arthropoda; Malacostraca; Decapoda; Potamidae
Description: tRNA-Ala
Source: RNAcentral